UGAGGAAUAUUGCGCAAUGGGCGAAAGCCUGACGCAGCGACGCCGCGUGGAGGAUGAAGGCCUUCGGGUUGUAAACUCCUGUUAAGCGGGAAGAAAGGCCCAUCUCUAAUACAGAUGGGAUAUGACGGUACCGCUAGAGAAAGCACCGGCUAAACUCGUGCCAGCAGCCGCGGUAAUACGAGUGGUGCAAGCGUUAUUCGGAAUUAUUGGGCGUAAAGGGUGUGCAGACGGCUCAUUAAGUCACCUGUUAAAUUCUCCGGCCUAACCGGAGGCCAGCGGGUGAAACUAAUAAGCUAGAGGGUGAGAGAGAGAAGUGGAAUUCUCGGAGUAGCGGUAAAAUGCGUAGAUCUCGAGAGGAACACCAAUGGCGAAGGCAGCUUCUUGGCUCACUCCUGACGUUCAUACACGAAAGCGUGGGGAGCAAACAGGAUUAGAUACCCUGGUAGUCCACGCUGUAAACGAUGAUCACUAGACGUUAGUUCCGAUUUCGGGAUUAGUGUCGUAGCUUACGCGUUAAGUGAUCCGCCUGGGGACUACGGUCGCAAGACUAA
Molecule: ribosomal RNA, 551 nt
Filed under: uncultured bacterium
Lineage: Bacteria
Description: bacterial SSU rRNA
Rfam family: Bacterial small subunit ribosomal RNA
Source: RNAcentral